AGGCGCGUAGCUCAGUUGGUUAGAGCGCUUGCUUGACAGGCAAGAGGUCCGCAGUUCGACUCUGCGCGCGCCUACCA
RNAcentral lists this transfer RNA (77 nucleotides) under Bdellovibrionales bacterium. Its description in RNAcentral is "tRNA-Val". It matches the Rfam family "tRNA". Rfam says of the family: Transfer RNA (tRNA) molecules are approximately 80 nucleotides in length. Their secondary structure includes four short double-helical elements and three loops (D, anti-codon, and T loops). The record is from RNAcentral. Lineage: Bacteria; Pseudomonadati; Bdellovibrionota; Bdellovibrionia; Bdellovibrionales.